GACGAACGCUGGCGGCGUGCUUAACACAUGCAAGUCGAACGGAAAGGCCCUGCUUUUGUGGGGUGCUCGAGUGGCGAACGGGUGAGUAACACGUGAGUAACCUGCCCUUGACUUUGGGAUAACUUCAGGAAACUGGGGCUAAUACCGGAUAGGAGCUCCUGCUGCAUGGUGGGGGGUGGAAAGUUUCGGGGGGUGGGGAUGGACUCGCGACUUAUCAGCUUGUUGGUGGGGUAGUGGCUUACCAAGGCUUUGACGGGUAGCCGGCCUGAGAGGGUGACCGGCCACAUUGGGACUGAGAUACGGCCCAGACUCCUACGGGAGGCAGCAGUGGGGAAUAUUGCACAAUGGGCGGAAGCCUGAUGCAGCAACGCCGCGUGCGGGAUGACGGCCUUCGGGUUGUAAACCGCUUUCGCCUGUGACGAAGCGUGAGUGACGGUAAUGGGUAAAGAAGCACCGGCUAACUACGUG
Molecule: ribosomal RNA, 468 nt
Filed under: uncultured bacterium
Lineage: Bacteria
Description: partial 16S ribosomal RNA
Rfam family: Bacterial small subunit ribosomal RNA
Source: RNAcentral